This is a small nucleolar RNA of Bufo bufo (common toad), 132 nucleotides long. RefSeq annotates it as small nucleolar RNA SNORA5. The record is from RefSeq and is a predicted model, not a curated record. Lineage: Eukaryota; Metazoa; Chordata; Amphibia; Anura; Bufonidae. The transcript has a single exon.
CGCAGCCUUGUCAAAUUCAGCAGUUCCUGCUCAGUGGCGCCUGCUGGCCGUGAUGGCUGCAACAGGAACAGGUGUCCAUGGGCCCCGAUCCCUCUGUGUGGACAUUGGGGAUAAAUGGCGUAACCGACAUCU